GCCGUUGGAGGACGCGCGCGCCUCCGUCGCAGGGUGGGUGCCCGCGCCCGCAGCGUCAGCGGGGCGGCGCGGCGGGAGGUGGCCGAUCGGCUCCCGGCCUCGCAGCCCAGCCCCCGGCCCAGCGGGCCUUACCGCCGCCGCGCCUGGCCGAACCGACCGCACGCUCCGGCUCCCUCGCGGGCGGGAGAACGGAAAACUCCCAACUUCCUGCAACCAGGGAUUUAAGAUAAAUACAACCAGCAUAGAGAAACUCAAAACUAUACAUAAGCCAAACCCAGAUGCCAAGAAGUGGGGAUGAAGGCAGGAUUUCUGACCCUUUGGUUCAGCCGGCCCUGCAAAUAAAAUCCAACCAAAAGAAAUCAAGAAAAUAACCACGAUUCAUACUGAGCUGUGGGAGAAAGAGGGGUGACGGGACAAAGGCUGCCUGUGGAGAGAGGACGGGGUCACUGCUUAAUGAUGGCACCUGGCUCAGCCCCAGCAGACCACAAGAAGCCGGCCCCAGACUCACUCAGUGCCUGCAGCAGCUGUGCGGACGCCGCAUCCUUGGCUGCCGUCAUGCCCGUCCUGCCCAUCUGGGGCCAGCGCAACCCAGAUAAGGCCGCUGAAAGGCACUGGAUGACCAGGGAUCACCGCCUGGUACCAGAAGUGGUGCCAGCCAGCAGGUCCUGUCCCCAAACACUUGGUGAGGAACACUGGGCUGCCCAGCCUCAUUUGUUGGCACAGCAGCUGGAGGGCAGCCCGAGCCCCUUGGGACCCUAGCCUGUCCCUAACCAAGGCCAAUCGGCUGCCCUGCGGCUGUAGGCAGCGCAGUGAGGGACCCGCAAGCUGCUGGCGGAGUCGCUGCUUCGGGCCUGGCUUGAGCCACUCCACGGCCACCUGCCCUCCACAGAGGCGUGACAGCCCUCCCACCAGGGCCUUUGGGGGCAGGCGGCGGCGCUGCGCUGCGAGCUGAACUUGAGCAGCGCGAUCUGCGCGGGCGCCGCCGGGGCUGGGCAGCAGCAGCGCCCCCCUGCAGGCCGGGCGCGGAGGCUGCAGCGCGAGCAGCAGUGGCGGCGGCUCCCGUCGGCGGCGACCCGUCCACGCGCAGCUCGCUCUUCUCGCCGCAGCGGGCGGCUGUGCAGCGGGGCCAUGGCGGCCUGCGCGCCGCGCCGCGAGCUGCAGCGGGCGUCGGGAAGACGCGGUUCAGGCCGCCGAAGGUCAUGGGCAGGCGGAUCUCGCAGGCGGCCCGCGCGCUGCCACAGUGGGAUCUGCUGGUGCUCGGAGACGUCGUGGGGCAGCCGCCCGAGAACACCUCCGAGCCGGCCGGCGGCGGGCUGCCCACCCGGCCUGGGACUGGCCCGCCGUCCUUCCUCUGCCCCUUCACCUGCACCCGCGGACGCCCGUUUCCCUGACCCGCGCCUCCAACACCGCCUCGUUCUCUGGAUUCACUUGCUCACCCCGGAGCUCACACGCCCGCUUGGACUCGUAAGUUUCUACUACAGAAAACCUGGGGAGUACAAUUGAAGCCUCAAUGAGUUUGGGGGGACACAAUUCAAUCCACUACGCUUUCCCCCUACUUAAAAGAAAAUGACUUUUUGAAAACCAGGUCAGUUUUCUUAUAAAAAAAUAUGUCA
Cynocephalus volans (Philippine flying lemur) is the source of this 1613-nucleotide long non-coding RNA. RefSeq lists it as uncharacterized. NCBI's taxonomy places the organism in Eukaryota, Metazoa, Chordata, Mammalia, Dermoptera, Cynocephalidae. The transcript has 3 exons. The record is from RefSeq and is a predicted model, not a curated record.